UACGAAGGGGGCUAGCGUUGCUCGGAAUCACUGGGCGUAAAGCGCACGUAGGCGGAUUGCUAAGUCAGGGGUGAAAUCCUGGAGCUCAACUCCAGAACUGCCUUUGAUACUGGCGAUCUUGAGUCCGGGAGAGGUGAGUGGAACUGCGAGUGUAGAGGUGAAAUUCGUAGAUAUCAAGCAGAACACCUGCGGCGAAGGCGGCCUUCUGGACGAUGACUGACGCUGAGACACGAAAGCGUGGGGAGCAAACAGG
This 253-nucleotide ribosomal RNA is filed under the name uncultured bacterium. RNAcentral describes it as "partial 16S ribosomal RNA". It matches the Rfam family "Bacterial small subunit ribosomal RNA", at positions 524 to 776 of the family's 1533-position model. The record is from RNAcentral.